Molecule: ribosomal RNA, 468 nt
Filed under: uncultured bacterium
Lineage: Bacteria
Description: partial 16S ribosomal RNA
Rfam family: Bacterial small subunit ribosomal RNA
Source: RNAcentral
GAUGAACGCUGGCGGCGUGCUUAACACAUGCAAGUCGAACGGAAAGGCCCAAGCUUGCUUGGGUACUCGAGUGGCGAACGGGUGAGUAACACGUGGGUGAUCUGCCCUGCACUUUGGGAUAAGCCUGGGAAACUGGGUCUAAUACCGGAUAGGACGAUGGUUUGGAUGCCAUUGUGGAAAGUUUUUUCGGUGUGGGAUGAGCUCGCGGCCUAUCAGCUUGUUGGUGGGGUAAUGGCCUACCAAGGCGUCGACGGGUAGCCGGCCUGAGAGGGUGUACGGCCACAUUGGGACUGGGAGACGGGCCAGACUCGUACGGGAGGCAGCAGUGGGGAAUAUUGCACAAUGGGCGCAGGCCUGAUGCAGCGAGGCCGCGUGGGGGAUGAGGGCCUUCGGGUUGUAAACACCUUUCGCUAGGGACGAAGCGUUUUUGUGACGGUACCUGGAGAAGAAGCACCGGCUAACUACGUG